CUGGGGCCUGUUGCACAAAAGUAGAAUGAAGAAAUCCAGGAUAACUGAAAAAGCGCAGCUUGACUUAGUGUGAUCCGCUCGUCGCGGCUUAAUCGGUUGCACUGGAGCAGGUUAGCUG
Long non-coding RNA from Sander lucioperca (pikeperch), 118 nucleotides. RefSeq lists it as uncharacterized. Lineage: Eukaryota; Metazoa; Chordata; Actinopteri; Perciformes; Percidae. The record is from RefSeq and is a predicted model, not a curated record. The transcript is spliced from 3 exons.